CACACUUAAAACAUAAACAUAACCAAAAAUCAGCCAAAUACAUCCAGGGGUUAAAAAGUUAGCUGGAGGUCCUUUUAUGACCGACCGCAAGCACAUUUUCCUGCCCAAAACAGUUCCAUAGAUUUGGGCUGUGAGGUCGGUCUAUUUCAGGCUGAAAAAAACGACUAAGUCCCAUCGCCGAAUGGGACUUAGUCUCUGCAGCUGUAAAACCAGUAGGGGAG
Molecule: non-coding RNA, 221 nt
Organism: Pelobates cultripes (western spadefoot toad)
Lineage: Eukaryota; Metazoa; Chordata; Amphibia; Anura; Pelobatidae
Source: the annotation of a GenBank genome assembly